GCCAGUGUUGCUCAGUGGUUAGAGUGUCAGCUCACACAGGGUCAUGGGUUCAAUUCCCAGUCAAUGGCA
Molecule: non-coding RNA, 69 nt
Organism: Myotis davidii
Lineage: Eukaryota; Metazoa; Chordata; Mammalia; Chiroptera; Vespertilionidae
Source: Rfam